AUGGCCAUAUAACGUUGAAACACCGGUUCUCGUACAAUCACUGAAGUUAGGAAACGUCGAGCCUGGUCAGUACGUAGAUGGGUGACCACUUGAGAAUACGAGGUUCUGUA
Molecule: non-coding RNA, 110 nt
Organism: Acanthosepion pharaonis
Lineage: Eukaryota; Metazoa; Mollusca; Cephalopoda; Sepiida; Sepiidae
Source: the annotation of a GenBank genome assembly